Molecule: ribosomal RNA, 2435 nt
Filed under: Staphylococcus aureus
Lineage: Bacteria; Bacillati; Bacillota; Bacilli; Caryophanales; Staphylococcaceae
Description: partial 23S ribosomal RNA
Rfam family: Bacterial large subunit ribosomal RNA
Source: RNAcentral
CUUUGAUCCAGAGAUUUCCGAAUGGGGAAACCCAGCAUGAGUUAUGUCAUGUUAUCGAUAUGUGAAUACAUAGCAUAUCAGAAGGCACACCCGGAGAACUGAAACAUCUUAGUACCCGGAGGAAGAGAAAGAAAAUUCGAUUCCCUUAGUAGCGGCGAGCGAAAUGGGAAGAGCCCAAACCAACAAGCUUGCUUGUUGGGGUUGUAGGACACUCUAUACGGAGUUACAAAGGACGACAUUAGACGAAUCAUCUGGAAAGAUGAAUCAAAGAAGGUAAUAAUCCUGUAGUCGAAAAUGUUGUCUCUCUUGAGUGGAUCCUGAGUACGACGGAGCACGUGAAAUUCCGUCGGAAUCUGGGAGGACCAUCUCCUAAGGCUAAAUACUCUCUAGUGACCGAUAGUGAACCAGUACCGUGAGGGAAAGGUGAAAAGCACCCCGGAAGGGGAGUGAAAUAGAACCUGAAACCGUGUGCUUACAAGUAGUCAGAGCCCGUUAAUGGGUGAUGGCGUGCCUUUUGUAGAAUGAACCGGCGAGUUACGAUUUGAUGCAAGGUUAAGCAGUAAAUGUGGAGCCGUAGCGAAAGCGAGUCUGAAUAGGGCGUUUAGUAUUUGGUCGUAGACCCGAAACCAGGUGAUCUACCCUUGGUCAGGUUGAAGUUCAGGUAACACUGAAUGGAGGACCGAACCGACUUACGUUGAAAAGUGAGCGGAUGAACUGAGGGUAGCGGAGAAAUUCCAAUCGAACCUGGAGAUAGCUGGUUCUCUCCGAAAUAGCUUUAGGGCUAGCCUCAAGUGAUGAUUAUUGGAGGUAGAGCACUGUUUGGACGAGGGGCCCCUCUCGGGUUACCGAAUUCAGACAAACUCCGAAUGCCAAUUAAUUUAACUUGGGAGUCAGAACAUGGGUGAUAAGGUCCGUGUUCGAAAGGGAAACAGCCCAGACCACCAGCUAAGGUCCCAAAAUAUAUGUUAAGUGGAAAAGGAUGUGGCGUUGCCCAGACAACUAGGAUGUUGGCUUAGAAGCAGCCAUCAUUUAAAGAGUGCGUAAUAGCUCACUAGUCGAGUGACACUGCGCCGAAAAUGUACCGGGGCUAAACAUAUUACCGAAGCUGUGGAUUGUCCUUUGGACAAUGGUAGGAGAGCGUUCUAAGGGCGUUGAAGCAUGAUCGUAAGGACAUGUGGAGCGCUUAGAAGUGAGAAUGCCGGUGUGAGUAGCGAAAGACGGGUGAGAAUCCCGUCCACCGAUUGACUAAGGUUUCCAGAGGAAGGCUCGUCCGCUCUGGGUUAGUCGGGUCCUAAGCUGAGGCCGACAGGCGUAGGCGAUGGAUAACAGGUUGAUAUUCCUGUACCACCUAUAAUCGUUUUAAUCGAUGGGGGGACGCAGUAGGAUAGGCGAAGCGUGCGAUUGGAUUGCACGUCUAAGCAGUAAGGCUGAGUAUUAGGCAAAUCCGGUACUCGUUAAGGCUGAGCUGUGAUGGGGAGAAGACAUUGUGUCUUCGAGUCGUUGAUUUCACACUGCCGAGAAAAGCCUCUAGAUAGAAAAUAGGUGCCCGUACCGCAAACCGACACAGGUAGUCAAGAUGAGAAUUCUAAGGUGAGCGAGCGAACUCUCGUUAAGGAACUCGGCAAAAUGACCCCGUAACUUCGGGAGAAGGGGUGCUCUUUAGGGUUAACGCCCAGAAGAGCCGCAGUGAAUAGGCCCAAGCGACUGUUUAUCAAAAACACAGGUCUCUGCUAAACCGUAAGGUGAUGUAUAGGGGCUGACGCCUGCCCGGUGCUGGAAGGUUAAGAGGAGUGGUUAGCUUCUGCGAAGCUACGAAUCGAAGCCCCAGUAAACGGCGGCCGUAACUAUAACGGUCCUAAGGUAGCGAAAUUCCUUGUCGGGUAAGUUCCGACCCGCACGAAAGGCGUAACGAUUUGGGCACUGUCUCAACGAGAGACUCGGUGAAAUCAUAGUACCUGUGAAGAUGCAGGUUACCCGCGACAGGACGGAAAGACCCCGUGGAGCUUUACUGUAGCCUGAUAUUGAAAUUCGGCACAGCUUGUACAGGAUAGGUAGGAGCCUUUGAAACGUGAGCGCUAGCUUACGUGGAGGCGCUGGUGGGAUACUACCCUAGCUGUGUUGGCUUUCUAACCCGCACCACUUAUCGUGGUGGGAGACAGUGUCAGGCGGGCAGUUUGACUGGGGCGGUCGCCUCCUAAAAGGUAACGGAGGCGCUCAAAGGUUCCCUCAGAAUGGUUGGAAAUCAUUCAUAGAGUGUAAAGGCAUAAGGGAGCUUGACUGCGAGACCUACAAGUCGAGCAGGGUCGAAAGACGGACUUAGUGAUCCGGUGGUUCCGCAUGGAAGGGCCAUCGCUCAACGGAUAAAAGCUACCCCGGGGAUAACAGGCUUAUCUCCCCCAAGAGUUCACAUCGACGGGGAGGUUUGGCACCUCGAU